This 497-nucleotide ribosomal RNA is filed under the name uncultured bacterium. RNAcentral's name for it is "partial 16S ribosomal RNA". It matches the Rfam family "Bacterial small subunit ribosomal RNA", at positions 28 to 507 of the family's 1533-position model. The record is from RNAcentral.
GAUGAACGCUGGCGGCGUGCCUAAUACAUGCAAGUCGAGCGAACAGACGAGGAGCUUGCUCCUCUGACGUUAGCGGCGGACGGGUGAGUAACACGUGGAUAACCUACCUAUAAGACUGGGAUAACUUCGGGAAACCGGAGCUAAUACCGGAUAAUAUAUUGAACCGCAUGGUUCAAUAGUGAAAGACGGUUUUGCUGUCACUUAUAGAUGGAUCCGCGCCGCAUUAGCUAGUUGGUAAGGUAACGGCUUACCAAGGCGACGAUGCGUAGCCGACCUGAGAGGGUGAUCGGCCACACUGGAACUGAGACACGGUCCAGACUCCUACGGGAGGCAGCAGUAGGGAAUCUUCCGCAAUGGGCGAAAGCCUGACGGAGCAACGCCGCGUGAGUGAUGAAGGUCUUCGGAUCGUAAAACUCUGUUAUUAGGGAAGAACAAAUGUGUAAGUAACUAUGCACGUCUUGACGGUACCUAAUCAGAAACCCACGGCUAACUACGUG